AAAUAGUCAGUUUCUGCUUCAUAGAAGGUGCUUAGGCAAAUCCGGGCACGUAAUUCAAGGGAGUGGGACGAGUGCACUUGUGCACGAAGCAAUCGGAAGUGGUUCCAAGAAAAGCCUCUAAGCUUCAGUCAUACGAGACCGUACCGCAAACCGACACAGGUGGGCGAGAUGAGUAUUCUAAGGCGCUUGAGAGAACUCGGGAGAAGGAACUCGGCAAAUUGGUACCGUAACUUCGGGAAAAGGUACGCCCCGGUAGCUUGGUCACUUUACUGUGAUAGGGCGAAAGGGUUGCAAUAAACUGGUGGCUGCGACUGUUUAAUAAAAACACAGCACUCUGCAAACACGAAAGUGGACGUAUAGGGUGUGACGCCUGCCCGGUGCUGGAAGAUUAAAUGAUGGGGUGCAAGCUCUUGAUUGAAGUCCCAGUAAACGGCGGCCGUAACUAUAACGGUCCUAAGGUAGCGAAAUUCCUUGUCGGGUAAGUUCCGACCUGCACGAAUGGCGUAACGAUGGCCACACUGUCUCCUCCCGAGACUCAGCGAAGUUGAAGUGUUUGUGAUGAUGCAAUCUACCCGCGGCUAGACGGAAAGACCCCAUGAACCUUUACUGUAGCUUUGCAUUGGACUUUGAACCAAUCUGUGUAGGAUAGGUGGGAGGCUUUGAAGCGGUGACGCCAGUCAUCGUGGAGCCAACCUUGAAAUACCACCCUGGUUUGUUUGAGGUUCUAACCUUGGUCCGUGAUCCGGAUCGGGGACAGUGCAUGGUAGGCAGUUUGACUGGGGCGGUCUCCUCCUAAAGUGUAACGGAGGAGUUCGAAGGUACGCUAAUUACGGUCGGACAUCGUGAUGAUAGUGCAAUGGCAUAAGCGUGCUUAACUGCGAGACCGACAAGUCGAGCAGGUACGAAAGUAGGACAUAGUGAUCCGGUGGUUCUGUAUGGAAGGGCCAUCGCUCAACGGAUAAAAGGUACUCUGGGGAUAACAGGCUGAUUCCUCCCAAGAGUUCAUAUCGACGGGGGAGUUUGGCACCUCGAUGUCGGCUCAUCACAUCCUGGGGCUGUAGCCGGUCCCAAGGGUAUGGCUGUUCGCCAUUUAAAGUGGUACGUGAGCUGGGUUUAAAACGUCGUGAGACAGUUUGGUCCCUAUCUGCCGUGGGCGUUGGAAAUUUGAAGGGGGCUGCUCCUAGUACGAGAGGACCGGAGUGGACGAACCUCUGGUGUACCGGUUGUCACGCCAGUGGCAUUGCCGGGUAGCUAAGUUCGGAAGAGAUAACCGCUGAAAGCAUCUAAGCGGGAAACUUGCCUUGAGAUGAGAUUUCCCGGAGCUUUAAGCUCCUUGAAGGGUCGUUCGAGACCAGGACGUUGAUAGGCUGGGUGUGGAAGUCA
RNAcentral lists this ribosomal RNA (1383 nucleotides) under metagenome. RNAcentral describes it as "bacterial LSU rRNA". It matches the Rfam family "Bacterial large subunit ribosomal RNA", at positions 1500 to 2876 of the family's 2925-position model. The record is from RNAcentral.